Molecule: ribosomal RNA, 297 nt
Filed under: Salmonella enterica subsp. enterica serovar Bareilly str. CFSAN001088
Lineage: Bacteria; Pseudomonadati; Pseudomonadota; Gammaproteobacteria; Enterobacterales; Enterobacteriaceae
Description: partial 23S ribosomal RNA
Rfam family: Bacterial large subunit ribosomal RNA
Source: RNAcentral
CCCGGUUUAAGCGUGUAGGUGUGUGUUCCAGGUAAAUCCGGUCCACUUUAACACUGAGGCGUGAUGACGAGGCACUACGGUGCUGAAGCAACAAAUGCCCUGCUUCCAGGAAAAGCCUCUAAGCAUCAGGUAACAUCAAAUCGUACCCCAAACCGACACAGGUGGUCAGGUAGAGAAUACCAAGGCGCUUGAGAGAACUCGGGUGAAGGAACUAGGCAAAAUGGUGCCGUAACUUCGGGAGAAGGCACGCUGACACGUAGGUGAAGUGAUUUACUCACGGAGCUGAAGUCAGUCGAA